AGUGAGCGCUGGCGGUAGGCCUAACACAUGCAAGUCGAACGGCAGCACAGUAAGAGCUUGCUCUUACGGGUGGCGAGUGGCGGACGGGUGAGGAAUACAUCGGAAUCUACUUUUUCGUGGGGGAUAACGUAGGGAAACUUACGCUAAUACCGCAUACGACCUACGGGUGAAAGCAGGGGAUCUUCGGACCUUGCGCGAUUGAAUGAGCCGAUGUCGGAUUAGCUAGUUGGCGGGGUAAAGGCCCACCAAGGCGACGAUCCGUAGCUGGUCUGAGAGGAUGGUCAGACACACUGGAACUGAGACACGGUCCAGACUCCUGCGGGAGGCAGCAGUGGAGAAUAUUAGACAAUGGGCGCGAGCCUGAUACAGCCAUACCGCGUGGGUGAAGAAGGCCUUCUGGUUGUAAAGCCCUUUUGUUGGGAAAGAAAAGCAGCAGGUUAAUACCCCGCUGUUCUGACGGUACCCAAAGAAUAAGCACCGGCUAACUUCGUG
RNAcentral lists this ribosomal RNA (492 nucleotides) under uncultured bacterium. Its description in RNAcentral is "partial 16S ribosomal RNA". It matches the Rfam family "Bacterial small subunit ribosomal RNA", at positions 29 to 507 of the family's 1533-position model. The record is from RNAcentral.